AUCCAGUGAUGUGAAUAAGCUGUAAAUAAUAUGGUCAAGUUUGUAUUCAUAAACCAAUAUUCAUUUUAAUGCAUAAAUAAGCUUGUAAUUGUAUAGCGACAAAGGGGUUAAAAUGUCUGAAAGAUCAUAUAAACUGUUCUGGCAAGAAAGUUGCAAAUCUCUGAAAGGGGAGCUGUCCUCCUUAUCUGCAAAGCAAGCUGCCCUACCAAGGAGAUAACGGGACAGCAGGAUGGCCUUGAGUAAAAUUAACAAGGAGUAUUCUAAAAUCCCUGGGAAAGAUUUCUACAAGUCUGCCAACUCAUCACUUUUGAGACCUAAGGUGAAAAGUACACCAUGAGGAAGACCUACGGCCUUCCUCCCAUAGACCACUGCCCACAUUCUAAAGACCCCGGCCCACAAUUUUUGGGAGAAUCUGCGCAAGCGUGAAGGACUGAUAAGCUAAUUAGCAUACGAAGCGAGGGUAGGCGGGUUCAGGUGAUGAAUAUGUAUAGGCGUUAAUGGAAUAUUCAUUGUUUCAUUAUAUAAAUAUAAGAUAAUCUGCCCCUCUGGGUGUGUACGAUUGGUGGAAGGAUCCCCCGUACACCCGGCGCCGACAAUAAAGAAUACUUAAUCACUAAGAAAUUCUGAAGACGUUCUUUGAAACAAUCUGGCGACCCAGAUGGGACAGCUCUCUGCCUGACCGUAGGACCCGCUGGGAAGUGGACUCCCUUGGGUACCCCCGGGAUUUUCCCGGAGGGACUCCCCAACUCAUCGGAUCACUGCGGAGGCAGACAAGAAUCCCAUCUUCUGUAAGUGAUAAUAUUCUUUAUUGCUGUAUUCUGGUAUUACCGGUAAUCUGGGGUUACCCGUAAGACGAGAAAAUUGAUUUCCGCAGGGUAACUUCUGGGUAUGCUUGGGAACUAGUUUCUCAGGUAUGCAUCUGGGUAUGCUUGGGAACUAGUUUCUCGGGUAUACAUCUGGUCUGGAAAACUCAGGUAUACUUCUGUGGCUGGCACCCUAAGUAUACUUCUGGUUUUGUUUGGGUUUUAUCAACAUUUAAUUGCCAUCUGGAAUCUGGCAAGUUUGCUUAUAAAGCUUAUUUGCUGCAGGGUUGCUUAUUUUGGUUACCGGAUUUAUGGAAUGUGGAAUUUGACUUUGAUAAUUGUUACUGUGAUUUCGGCUAUAUUUUUGAUAAUAAUAGUGAGCUCUUGGUGUUGCUGUAGAAAGAUACCUGC
Falco peregrinus (peregrine falcon) is the source of this 1214-nucleotide long non-coding RNA. RefSeq lists it as uncharacterized. NCBI's taxonomy places the organism in Eukaryota, Metazoa, Chordata, Aves, Falconiformes, Falconidae. The record is from RefSeq and is a predicted model, not a curated record. The transcript has 2 exons.